This is an RNA transcript of Bubalus bubalis (water buffalo), 3205 nucleotides long. It is a transcript of the gene named chromosome 9 C19orf25 homolog, with no coding region annotated. The transcript has 2 exons. Lineage: Eukaryota; Metazoa; Chordata; Mammalia; Artiodactyla; Bovidae. The record is from RefSeq and is a predicted model, not a curated record.
GGCGCAGCCAGUUGGAGUGCAAUUCAACAGCUGUUUAUUAAAGGUGCAGUGAGACGCCUGGCUCUGCGGCCUCCUUCCGCCAGGUGAUGGCUUUACAGGUGGGGGCUUUACAGGUGGGGGCUGUACGUAUUUACAGGUGUCCUGCGGCACCUGGGAUGGAAACAGCGGGGAGGGAACAAGCCAAGACAACCAGGCUCAGGCUGCGGCAGCGUGGUGAGGUAGUGCCCCAAAGUCAGCACCCGGCUCGCAGUGUCCAUCUGCUCCGGGCCGAGGUCUGGCCUGGGUACCCUGUGUCUCUCGGGUCAGGGCUUCACAGGAGUGUUUGCGGUCCUUGGACUUUGUUCCUCCAAGCUCCGGCCUCAGGCUGAUUGUCCAGCGGUGGCCAGCACUGCCUCCUCCAGGAAGCCACUCUAAUCAGGACCUCGGGCUCCCACCAGCCCAAUGGCUACGUGGACCGCUGCUGUGAUAGAUGGAGGUGGCAGAGUGGGCGCUGGAUAGGAUGGGAUGGCUCAGGCCCUGCCCCUGCCUGUGGAGAGAAUGGCAAGGGGCAGCCAGCUGGGAGGGUCCUCUGCCCCGUCAUGGCAGCCAACCUGCUGAACCCAGAGGUAGUUCUGGGAAUUCUCCCCACGGCCCACGUGGGGAAGCAGGCGCACAGCUGCCAGAGCACAGCCUGGGACUCAGUACGGGGGCUUCCACUCCAGGCCCCCACAGCUUGGCAAGCUGGCAGCAUUUCUCCAUUUCCAAGGGUGGCUCGCCUGUGAUGAUGGGGUGCAACAUUCUGCAGCCCCCACAUUUGAGAAGGAGCUCAAAAGGCCACUCCCCGCUUCCCCUUCUGGCUGCUGAUAGGAUGGGAGCAGCCGUUUGCAGAGGUGUCUUAUCCGCCCUGGAGAGGGGCCUCAGGGUGAGCAGUGGCUGUUCUAGCGCCUGCUCAGUCCCCACCACUUUCCCAGGCUCGCUCUCCCCAGGAGGAGUACGUGGUGCAGCCUUUCCUGCGUCCUGCUUCUGCUCCUGGCCCUCAAGCCGAACCCUGGCCUGCGGGACGCGAUGUCGCAGCGUGUGUAUCUUAAGGAGCGGCAGCACAGCGUCCUGGGGGGGCAGAGGCAGGGCUCCUUCAGCACGUCCUCUCCAUCUGGCUCUGCUCCCCUCCCAGAGAAGGGACAGGAACCGGCACACUGUUCCCGGCCCCCAGAGCAGCUCGGCAGGGCGGUGUGACUGCAGAUCCUUAGGGCGGCUGAGAGCAGCUGCUGGCGCUCGCGCAGAGCCGGGCUCCUCAGGGAAGGGGGAUCCGCUGUUCGGGCAGGUGUGCUGGCCCCCGGGAGGAGGCCACGCCCCACGGAGCCCGCAGAUCCAAAGAACAGGAGACUCGGUGAAAAGGCAAAGACCUGGGACCAGGCAGGUGCACGCGGGGACCACUUCCCGCAGAGCGCAGUCCAGGUCCCGUAGUCCAGGCCUGGCUACUGGGCGGUGGCUAGGCCCCGGCCUCCCCUCCGUUUCUCGCUCUCCUCAGCCACGGGGCUGCCGGCACGCCUGCCUCUCCUGGUUCCUUACGAGGGCUGCGGGGACGCCCUGUGUACCCAGCGCCCCCGACCAGUUUUGGGGUGCUCCAGGCUCCCUGCGCGUGUCUGUCUGGGGUUGGGGCGGCCUUUCUGUCGGGCGCAGACACGCCCCUCCCGCACGCCCCCAGCUGAGGCCGAGACGGCAAACAAACCAGCUAAGCCGUAGUUAACCAAUUACCCGGCCCUGCCCGUAAUUACAGGCUUUCUCUUGCGCGUGCGCAGCCGCCACCCUCGGCUGGCAGGCUCCUGCUGCCGCCACCCUCCCAGCCCCUUCCCCACCUCGGCGGGCACUGUCAUUCCCGCCCCCUCCUCCCCAUGCGUUCCCCAGAGGAGAGGGGAGCAAGUGUGGUGCUAAUGCCGGGCCCGGCAGGGCCAGGAACCCAGAAGGGCAUCGCUGAGGACGGCCCCAGCCAGGAGGAUGGUCUCGGCGCGGGCGCCAGGGCUUCGUGGGCGCCCCCUUGCGGUGACGCGCGCUCCAGCUCGCAGCUCACUUUCCUCCCGAAGCCUCCUCGGCUCAAAAGCAAGCGUCUACGCGGGAGUGCGAGGCCCGUGUGGGCAGGGGGAUGACUGAACCCGGGCCCUUGGUAAUGAAAGCACCAAGUCCUAACCACUGCACGCCAGGGAAUUGUCUACUGGGGUAAGAUCGUUAGCACAAGUAUAUCCCAUGUAAUUGGAGACGUGAAUGGCAACCCACUCCAGUAUUCUUGCCUGGAAAACUCCAUGGACAGAGGAGCCUGGAGGUCUAUACUCCAUGGGGUUGCAAAGAGUCAGACACAGCUGAGCGACUAACACACUUACUUAUCCCAUGUAAUAUUUGGGAUAUACUGAAAAUAGUAUUGGGGGCUUCCCAGGUGGCGCUAGUGGUAAGGAAUCCACCUGCCAAUAUGGGAGAGGUGGAUUCAACCUCUGGAUUGGGACCCUGGACAAAGAAAUGGCAAUGCACUCCAGUAUUCUUGCCUGGGAAAUCCCACGGACUGUAGCCCACCAGGCUCCUCUGUCCAUGGGGUCCUAGAGGGUGAGACACAACUAAGUGACUAAGCACACACACACACACACAGUAUUAAAAGGAAACAGAAAUCUAAGUGUUGUUUCUUAAUGUUUUAACUAAUAAAAUCUUCAGCACAGGUAUAUCCCAUGCAAUAUUUGGGAUAUACUGAGACAUAUACUUUUUAAAAGUUAUGUACUUUCAUACAUCAGAAGCAUUACUUAUUAGUAAUAUUAAUAAGUGAUAUUAAUAAAUAAGUUUUUAUUACUGUUUAGAAAAUGAUGCAUUUUUAAUAAAUUCAUUUAAAAUUCAGUAUAAGUAUCCAAUAUGUUACAUAGUAGGAAAUAAAUAUGUUAAUGAAGAAUAGGUAUUGUUUUACUUAAUAUUAAUAAAUAUUUUAAUAAAGAGCAAGUAUUAUUAAUGUUAUUUAGAAAAUUAUGUAUAUUUUUACUGAGUUAAUUUAAAAUUUAGUACAAGUAUAUCACAUGCAGAGUUUGGGAUAUACUUUUAAAAGUUAUGUCUGUUCACAUAUUGAAGUAUUGCUUAUUGUUAAUGUUACCUAGUAAGUUACUUAUUACAUAGUGAAUAACAUUUUAAUAAAUAACAAGUAUUAUUAUUAUUACUUGAAUAUUAUGUUUAUUUCUACAAAACUAGUUUAAAAUGU